GACGAACGCUGGCGGCGUGCUUAACACAUGCAAGUCGAACGGAAAGGCCCUGCUUUUGUGGGGUGCUCGAGUGGCGAACGGGUGAGUAACACGUGAGUAACCUGCCCUUGACUUUGGGAUAACUUCAGGAAACUGGGGCUAAUACCGGAUAGGAGCUCCUGCUGCAUGGUGGGGGUUGGAAAGUUUCGGCGGUUGGGGAUGGACUCGCGGCUUAUCAGCUUGUUGGUGGGGUAGUGGCUCACCAAGGCUUUGACGGGUAGCCGGCCUGGGAGGGUGACCGGCCACAUUGGGACUGAGAUACGGCCCAGACUCCUACGGGAGGCAGCAGUGGAGAAUAUUGCACAAUGGGCGGAAGCAUGAUGCAGAAACGCCGCGUGCGGGAUGACGGCCUUCGGGUUGUAAACCGCGUUCGCCUGUGACGAAGCGUGAGUGACGGUAAUGGGUAAAGAAGCACCGGCUAAGUACGUG
Molecule: ribosomal RNA, 468 nt
Filed under: uncultured bacterium
Lineage: Bacteria
Description: partial 16S ribosomal RNA
Rfam family: Bacterial small subunit ribosomal RNA
Source: RNAcentral